Peromyscus maniculatus bairdii (prairie deer mouse) is the source of this 1125-nucleotide non-coding RNA. The record is from RefSeq and is a predicted model, not a curated record. Lineage: Eukaryota; Metazoa; Chordata; Mammalia; Rodentia; Cricetidae.
ACUGGUUUUGUUUCUGAGACAGGGUCCAGAGCUACAUAACUCUGGCUGUCCUGGAACUCACUAUGUAGACCAGACCAGACUGGCCUUGAACCCAGAGAUCCACCUGUCUCUGCCCACCCAGAGUGUUGUCGUUGAAGGCAGUAUCGGUUCAGGUCAACACUGACAUUUAAAGACUACCUUGUGUAUCAGGUACUGUGGGAAAUACAAAGGUGAGUAGUUGUGGUGUCCAGCCCCAAGGCAUCAUGGUCCAGGAGGUGAGCCCAUGCCAGAGCACUGUAGUAGGACCAGGCUGCUGGAAGGUAUGACUGCCUCUGACUUUGAGCAGGUUCCCUAACUUGUCUCUUGCCUUGGAAGAUGGAAAUAAGCACAUCCUCCACCUCUUUGUUGAGAAGACUGGACUCGUGAACCUAUCUGAUAUAAAAUUAAUCAUUCUCGUGUCUGUGGGGCUAACACUGGUGCUUACUGAUACUAGCUGGUGCUGUGAAGAGGUUCUGAGGUGUGUUCUAAGUUCACAGCCAUUCCUGUCCCCUGUGACAAGACACUGUCCAGGCUGUUAUCUAUCACAGGCCACGUAAAAUGAGAGAUCGAGGAUGUUAUCUGUCCAGUCACUUCUCUCAGCCUGUUUCUCACAGUUCUGACGGCUGAGAAGUUCAAGAUCAAGACCCUGGCUAUCUAGAAGGCUGGUUGUUGUGUAAUAGUUUCCUCCAAGAUUAAAACAGUCCAUCCUGCAGGAAGCUCCUUAAGCAGGAAGGUGAACAACUCAAAACAGCUUCCAAAGUCCCGGGAACUGACCAGAUUCACGAGGCCCCUCCCUGCCCGAGUAUACAGUUAAAGCUGAAAUACCCCUCAGAUCUAGAGAGCUGUGCUGUAAAGUCUCAGACAAACCAAGCUGCCGAGAAAACCAGCCGUCCUGCCUGGAAGAGGUUUAGAGCAACUGAGGCACCGGGAGGGACCCUCUUCCGCCUGCUGAGCUGCCCGCAGACUGUGCAGUGGGCUGCAGGGUCCCGUCUUUGUGAGCUGUCCCCCGCCCUGGGGUGGGCCCUGGUGAUACAGCUGUCUUUGAGUCGUUUUUGCCCCAUAUUCCUGUAAGUAACUUCAAUAAAACUUACGGUUCACCAAGUUGGA